AGCGAACGCUGGCGGCAGGCCUAACACAUGCAAGUCGAACGAACCUUUCGGGGUUAGUGGCGGCCGGGUGAGUAACACGUGGGAACGUGCCUUUAGGUUCGGAAUAACUCAGGGAAACUUGUGCUAAUACCGAACGUGCCCUUCGGGGGAAAGAUUUAUCGCCUUUAGAGCGUCCCGCGUCUGAUUAGCUAGUUGGUCGAGGUAAUGGCUCACCAAGGCGACGAUCAGUAGCUGGUCUGAGAGGAUGAUCAGCCACAUUGGGACUGAGACACGGCCCAAACUCCUACGGGAGGCAGCAGUGGGGAAUCUUGCGCAAUGGGCGAAAGCCUGACGCAGCCAUGCCGCGUGAAUGAUGAAGGUCUUAGGAUUGUAAAAUUCUUUCACCGGGGACGAUAAUGACGGUACCCGGAGAAGAAGCCCCGGCUAACUUCGUG
RNAcentral lists this ribosomal RNA (434 nucleotides) under uncultured bacterium. RNAcentral's name for it is "partial 16S ribosomal RNA". It matches the Rfam family "Bacterial small subunit ribosomal RNA", at positions 29 to 507 of the family's 1533-position model. The record is from RNAcentral.